UGUGCUCGCCGAGCUGGUAAAACACAAGCCCAAGGCCACAGACGAGCAACUGAAAACAGUGAUCGGAAAAUUCACUGCUAUGGUGGAGAAGUGCUGUACCGAAACAGACCACGAGGCCUGCUUUGGACUGGAGGGCCCCAUACUUGUUAAGGAAGCUGAAGCUGUCUUGAUUUAAAAACAACAGCUGCACGCAUCUCCGCCCAUCAUGAGACAUGAAGAUCUGGAUUUGGUUCAUCGAUAUUUCUAUUAUGUUGGUGUAAAACCAACAACACUCUAAGAAACACACAUGUUUGAAUAUUGUCCUCUUCUUUGUGUGCUGAAAUUAAUAAAAUUGAAACAUUCUGA
Molecule: long non-coding RNA, 345 nt
Organism: Echinops telfairi (small Madagascar hedgehog)
Lineage: Eukaryota; Metazoa; Chordata; Mammalia; Afrosoricida; Tenrecidae
Exons: 3
Source: RefSeq, a predicted model, not a curated record